UACGUAGGGAGCAAGCGUUGUUCGGAUUUACUGGGCGUAAAGGGCGCGUAGGCGGCAAUUCAAGUCAGCUGUGAAAUCUCCGGGCUUAACUCGGAACGGUCAGCUGAUACUGCUUUGCUAGAGUGCGGAAGGGGCAAUCGGAAUUCUCGGUGUAGCGGUGAAAUGCGCAGAUAUCAGGAAGAACACCCGUGGCUAAGGCGGUUCUCUAGUACGGUACUGACGCUGAGACGCGAAAGCGUGGGGAGCGAACAGG
Molecule: ribosomal RNA, 253 nt
Filed under: uncultured bacterium
Lineage: Bacteria
Description: partial 16S ribosomal RNA
Rfam family: Bacterial small subunit ribosomal RNA
Source: RNAcentral